Molecule: ribosomal RNA, 492 nt
Filed under: uncultured bacterium
Lineage: Bacteria
Description: partial 16S ribosomal RNA
Rfam family: Bacterial small subunit ribosomal RNA
Source: RNAcentral
AGUGAACGCUGGCGGUAGGCCUAACACAUGCAAGUCGAACGGCAGCACAGUAAGAGCUUGCUCUUACGGGUGGCGAGUGGCGGACGGGUGAGGAAUACAUCGGAAUCUACUUUUUCGUGGGGGAUAACGUAGGGAAGCUUACGCUAAUACCGCAUACGACCUACGGGUGAAAGCAGGGGAUCUUCGGACCUUGCGCGAUUGAAUGAGCCGAUGUCGGAUUAGCUAGUUGGCGGGGUAAAGGCCCACCAAGGCGACGAUCCGUAGCUGGUCUGAGAGGAUGAUCAGCCACACUGGAACUGAGACACGGUCCAGACUCCUACGGGAGGCAGCAGUGGGGAAUAUUGGACGAUGGGCGCAAGCCUGAUCCAGCCAUACCGCGUGGGUGAAGAAGGCCUUCGGGUUGUAAAGCCCUUUUGUUGGGAAAGAAAAGCAGCAGGUUAAUACCCCGCUGUUCUGACGGUACCCAAAGAAUAAGCACCGGCUAACUUCGUG